Molecule: transfer RNA, 66 nt
Filed under: Tritia vaucheri
Lineage: Eukaryota; Metazoa; Mollusca; Gastropoda; Neogastropoda; Nassariidae
Description: tRNA-Thr
Rfam family: tRNA
About the family: Transfer RNA (tRNA) molecules are approximately 80 nucleotides in length. Their secondary structure includes four short double-helical elements and three loops (D, anti-codon, and T loops).
Source: RNAcentral
GCAAUAAUAGCUUAAAUAGAGCAUUGGUCUUGUAAGCCAAAGGUGAGUAAAUCUUCUCUUAUUGCU